AUGGCCCAGUUCUUCGGAGCCGGUGAUGCCAGGGAGCAGUGCUCAGGAGGCGUGGAGAUCAAGGACAUGGAGGCCGCGGUAUUCAAAGCAAUGCUUGGCUUCAUCUACACCGACGCUGUGCCAAAAUUCAAAAAGCGGAAGGAGGCGGUGACGGUGAUGGCCCAGCGUCUACUUGCUGCUGCUGACAGGUUUGGACUUGACAGGCUCCAGCUCAUCUGCGUUGGAAAGCUCUCUGCUGGUAGCAUCAGCAUCAACACGGUGGCGACUACUCUGGCUUUAGCUGAACAGCACAGGUGUUCUGAGCUCAAGGCAAAGUGUGUGGAGUUCAUCCUUGGUACCCCGGCAAUUCUUGAUGCUGUGUUGGCGACGGAUGGGUAUAAGCACCUAGAGUCAAGCUGCCCAUUUGUGGUGAUUGACCUUCUCAAGGCUGCUCGUGGAAGAAAGAUUUGA
RNAcentral lists this ribosomal RNA (450 nucleotides) under Triticum aestivum (bread wheat). RNAcentral's name for it is "partial small subunit ribosomal RNA". The record is from RNAcentral. Lineage: Eukaryota; Viridiplantae; Streptophyta; Magnoliopsida; Poales; Poaceae.